UACGUAGGGGGCGAGCGUUGUCCGGAUUUAUUGGGCGUAAAGAGCGUGUAGGCGGCCAGGUAGGUCCGUUGUGAAAACUCGAGGCUCAACCUCGAGACGUCGGCGGAAACCAUCUGGCUAGAGUCCGGAAGAGGAGAGUGGAAUUCCUGGUGUAGCGGUGAAAUGCGCAGAUAUCAGGAGGAACACCGGUGGCGAAGGCGGGUCUCUGGGCAGUAACUGACGCUGAGAAGCGAAAGCGUGGGGAGCGAACAGG
RNAcentral lists this ribosomal RNA (253 nucleotides) under uncultured bacterium. RNAcentral's name for it is "partial 16S ribosomal RNA". It matches the Rfam family "Bacterial small subunit ribosomal RNA", at positions 524 to 776 of the family's 1533-position model. The record is from RNAcentral.